Non-coding RNA from Cinara cedri, 373 nucleotides. The record is from the annotation of a GenBank genome assembly. NCBI's taxonomy places the organism in Eukaryota, Metazoa, Arthropoda, Insecta, Hemiptera, Aphididae.
GCCUACAAGAGUAUUAUUGGUCGAAUUUUUUUAUUGUUUUUUUUUUCAGAUUCCGAACGUGGCGAGGGAGCUAUUGGUUUUAAAUUGAUGUUUUUUUCUUCUUUUUUAUUUUUCUCUGUUCUAGCCUGUGGAUAAGUUUUUUUCGUAGUAAACUUGUUCCGAUAUGUACGUGCAUAUUUUUACGAGCAACUUUUCUGAAAGCUCAAGUUGUCUCAAAGGGGUAAAUUUUUGAUUUUUAACGCUAUUUUUUUAAUUAAAAGCACUUAAAUGAGAAAAAACGUAGAAAAACAUACCUACCUUCCUCACUACUCACAUACAACAGUUGCCGCACCCAUCACCAGAAUGAGAUAUUUUUUUGUUUGGUAAAUUACCU